Dermacentor silvarum is the source of this 434-nucleotide long non-coding RNA. RefSeq lists it as uncharacterized. The transcript has 2 exons. Lineage: Eukaryota; Metazoa; Arthropoda; Arachnida; Ixodida; Ixodidae. The record is from RefSeq and is a predicted model, not a curated record.
CUCUAGGUAUGGCAAAGAUUUACGCUUGGAACAUCUUGGUCCUUUUGACCGUAUUUGCUCUUCUGUCCGCCGUUGAAGAACGAGUCGAGGCCGUACCACUUCCAAAGAGAAGCCAUGGAUCAAGUGGGGGUAACCGUACCAACCGGCACCAUACAACUCCUAGAACUACUCCUUAUACUAGGUGCAACACUCGGCCGUUGGGCCGUCGGUAACAUCUGGACAUGAACCACACCGUUAGGAAAACUCGGCGAGAAAUGAUUUGCAGCGAAACUGAACUGAAGAGGAAAACAGUUAUCCAUUCCAAACCAAGACAUGAAGAAGGACUCGACCGCUUCUACUAGGAAUAUUCGACACGUCUUGCAACCCACUUUGGUGAAAUGAGCCUAUUUGAAGUGUUUACGAAAACUUGUUGAAUAAUAAAUUACUCCGUUGUA